Molecule: long non-coding RNA, 121 nt
Organism: Drosophila serrata
Lineage: Eukaryota; Metazoa; Arthropoda; Insecta; Diptera; Drosophilidae
Gene: bru1
Source: RefSeq, a predicted model, not a curated record
GGGAAAAAUACGAAAGGUUAUAGUCUCCGUCCUGGACAAAGUUUCUUGCUAAUGAGAGCAAGUUAUAAGCAAUAGUUUCUCACACACAAAAGUUAAGAGAUAUUAAAUUAAAAAAAAAAAA